UCGGAGGCAGCAGUGGGGAAUCUUGCACAAUGGGGGAAACCCUGAUGCAGCGACGCCGCGUGAACGAUGAAGCCCUUCGGGGUGUAAAGUUCUUUCGACGGGGACGAUAAUGACGGUACCCGGAGAAGAAGCUGCGGCUAACUACGUGCCAGCAGCCGCGGUAAUACGUAGGCAGCAAGCGUUGUUCGGAAUUACUGGGCGUAAAGAGUGCGUAGGCGGUUGACUAAGUUUGGUGUGAAAUCUCCCGGCUUAACUGGGAGGGUGCGCCGAAAACUGGCCAGCUAGAGUGUGGGAGAGGAUAGUGGAAUUCCUGGUGUAGCGGUGAAAUGCGUAGAUAUCAGGAGGAACACCUGCGGUGUAGACGGCUAUCUGGACCAUGACUGACGCUGAGGCACGAAAGCGUGGGUAGCAAACAGGAUUAGAAACCCGUGUAGUCC
RNAcentral lists this ribosomal RNA (437 nucleotides) under uncultured bacterium. RNAcentral's name for it is "bacterial SSU rRNA". It matches the Rfam family "Bacterial small subunit ribosomal RNA", at positions 342 to 796 of the family's 1533-position model. The record is from RNAcentral.